This 1349-nucleotide ribosomal RNA is filed under the name uncultured bacterium. RNAcentral describes it as "bacterial SSU rRNA". It matches the Rfam family "Bacterial small subunit ribosomal RNA", at positions 27 to 1365 of the family's 1533-position model. The record is from RNAcentral.
GGAUGAACGCUAGCGGCAGGCUUAACACAUGCAAGUCGAGGGGCAGCGGGGAGGAAGCUUGCUUUCUCCGCCGGCGACCGGCGCACGGGUGAGUAACACGUAUGCAACCUGCCCCUGUCAGGGGGACAACCCGCCGAAAGGCGGGCUAAACCCGCGUACAUGCCACCGGGGCAUCCCGGAGGCAGGAAAGGCUUCGGCCGGACAGGGAUGGGCAUGCGGCGCAUUAGGCAGUAGGCGGGGUAACGGCCCACCUAACCGACGAUGCGUAGGGGUUCUGAGAGGAAGGUCCCCCACACUGGUACUGAGACACGGACCAGACUCCUACGGGAGGCAGCAGUGAGGAAUAUUGGUCAAUGGUCGGGAGACUGAACCAGCCAAGCCGCGUGAGGGAGGAAGGUACAGAGUAUCGUAAACCUCUUUUGUCAGGGAACAAAGACUGGGACGCGUCCCCGGAUGAGUGUACCUGAAGAAAAAGCAUCGGCUAACUCCGUGCCAGCAGCCGCGGUAAUACGGAGGAUGCGAGCGUUAUCCGGAUUUAUUGGGUUUAAAGGGUGCGCAGGCGGUCUGUUAAGUCAGCGGUCAAAGCCCGGGGCUCAACCCCGGCCCGCCGUUGAAACUGGCAGUCUCGAGUUGGAGAGAAGUAUGCGGAAUGCGCGGUGUAGCGGUGAAAUGCAUAGAUAUCGCGCAGAACUCCGAUUGCGAAGGCAGCAUGCCGGCUCCACACUGACGCUGAGGCACGAAAGCGUGGGUAUCGAACAGGAUUAGAUACCCUGGUAGUCCACGCAGUAAACGAUGAAUGCUGGCUGUCCGGGGGGACUGACCCCUGGGUGGCGAAGCGAAAGCGAUAAGCAUUCCACCUGGGGAGUACGCCGGCAACGGUGAAACUCAAAGGAAUUGACGGGGGCCCGCACAAGCGGAGGAACAUGUGGUUUAAUUCGAUGAUACGCGAGGAACCUUACCCGGGCUCAAACGGGGAGUGGCGCAGGCAGAGACGCCUGUUUCCCACGGGACACUCCCCGAGGUGCUGCAUGGUUGUCGUCAGCUCGUGCCGUGAGGUGUCGGCUUAAGUGCCAUAACGAGCGCAACCCCCGCGUGCAGUUGCUAACAGUCAACGCUGAGGACUCUGCACGGACUGCCGGCGCAAGCCGCGAGGAAGGCGGGGAUGACGUCAAAUCAGCACGGCCCUUACGUCCGGGGCGACACACGUGUUACAAUGGGUGGUACAGCGGGAAGCCAGGCGGCGACGCCGAGCGGAACCCGAAAUCCACUCUCAGUUCGGAUCGGAGUCUGCAACCCGACUCCGUGAAGCUGGAUUCGCUAGUAAUCGCGCAUCAGCCAUGGCGCGGUGA